RNAcentral lists this ribosomal RNA (460 nucleotides) under uncultured bacterium. RNAcentral's name for it is "partial 16S ribosomal RNA". It matches the Rfam family "Bacterial small subunit ribosomal RNA", at positions 338 to 795 of the family's 1533-position model. The record is from RNAcentral.
CUUACGGGAGACAGCAGUGAGGAAUAUUGGUCAAUGGACGAGAGUCUGAACCAGUCAAGUAGCGUGAAGGAUGACUGCCCUAUGGGUUGUAAACUUCUUUUAUAUGGGAAUAAAAUGUUCCACGUGUGGGAUUUUGUAUGUACCAUAUGAAUAAGGAUCGGCUAACUCCGUGCCAGCAGCCGCGGUAAUACGGAGGAUCCGAGCGUUAUCCGGAUUUAUUGGGUUUAAAGGGUGCGUAGGUGGAUUGUUAAGUCAGUUGGGAAAGUUUGCGGCUCAACCGUAAAAUUGCAGUUGAAACUGGCAGUCUUGAGUACAGUAGAGGUAGGCGGAAUGCGGGGUGUAGCGGUGAAAUGCUUAGAUAUCACGAAGAACUCCGAUUGCGAAGGCAGUUCACUGGACUGACACUGACACUGAGGCUCGAAAGUGUGGGUAUCGAACAGGAUUAGAUACCCCAGUAGUC